Molecule: ribosomal RNA, 253 nt
Filed under: uncultured bacterium
Lineage: Bacteria
Also listed under: 1 other name
Description: partial 16S ribosomal RNA
Rfam family: Bacterial small subunit ribosomal RNA
Source: RNAcentral
UACAGAGGGUGCGAGCGUUGUCCGGAAUCACUGGGCGUAAAGGGCGUGUAGGCGGCUGGGUAAGCCGCGUGUGAAAUCCCGGGGCUCAACCCCGGAACGGCACGCGGGACUGUCCGGCUAGAGAAUGGUAGAGGCGAGUGGAAUUCCUGGUGUAGCGGUGGAAUGCGUAGAGAUCAGGAAGAACACCGGUGGCGAAGGCGGCUCGCUGGGCCAUUUCUGACGCUGAGGCGCGAAAGCGUGGGGAGCAAACAGG